GCGAUACACAGUAAGCGGCUUAGCGAAAGCGUUAAGUAAUCCACCUGGGGAGUACGUUCGCAAGAAUGAAACUCAAAGGAAUUGACGGGGGCCCGCACAAGCGGAGGAACAUGUGGUUUAAUUCGAUGAUACGCGAGGAACCUUACCCGGGCUUGAAAUGCUAUUGACCGGCUCAGAGACGAGCCUUCCCUUCGGGGCAAUAGUGUAGGUGCUGCAUGGUUGUCGUCAGCUCGUGCCGUGAGGUGUCGGCUUAAGUGCCAUAACGAGCGCAACCCUCAUCAUUAGUUACUAACAGGUCAAGCUGAGGACUCUAGUGAGACUGCCAUCGUAAGAUGCGAGGAAGGUGGGGAUGACGUCAAAUCAGCACGGCCCUUAUGUCCGGGGCGACACACGUGUUACAAUGGAUGGUACAACAGGCAGCUACUUGGCGACAAGAUGCUAAUCCCGAAAACCAUUCUCAGUUCGGAUCGAAGUCUGCAACUCGACUUCGUGAAGCUGGAUUCGCUAGUAAUCGC
Molecule: ribosomal RNA, 515 nt
Filed under: uncultured bacterium
Lineage: Bacteria
Description: bacterial SSU rRNA
Rfam family: Bacterial small subunit ribosomal RNA
Source: RNAcentral